UACGUAGGGUGCAAGCGUUGUCCGGAAUUAUUGGGCGUAAAGAGCUCGUAGGCGGUUUGUUGCGUCGGCUGUGAAAUCCCGAGGCUCAACCUCGGGUCUGCAGUCGAUACGAGCAAACUAGAGUGUUGCAGGGGAGACUGGAAUUCCUGGUGUAGCGGUGAAAUGCGCAGAUAUCAGGAGGAACACCGGUGGCGAAGGCGGUUCUCUGGGCAUUCCCUGACGCUGAGGAGCGAAAGUGUGGGGAGCGAACAGG
Molecule: ribosomal RNA, 253 nt
Filed under: uncultured bacterium
Lineage: Bacteria
Description: partial 16S ribosomal RNA
Rfam family: Bacterial small subunit ribosomal RNA
Source: RNAcentral